This 253-nucleotide ribosomal RNA is filed under the name uncultured bacterium. Its description in RNAcentral is "partial 16S ribosomal RNA". It matches the Rfam family "Bacterial small subunit ribosomal RNA", at positions 524 to 776 of the family's 1533-position model. The record is from RNAcentral.
UACGUAGGGGGCAAGCGUUGUCCGGAAUCAUUGGGCGUAAAGAGCGUGUAGGUGGCUCGGUAAGUCCGCUGUGAAAGUCCAGGGCUCAACCCUGGAAAGCCGGUGGAAAUUGUCGAGCUCGAGUCCGGAAGAGGCGAGUGGAAUUCCUGGUGUAGCGGUGAAAUGCGCAGAUAUCAGGAGGAACACCAAUGGCGAAGGCAGCUCGCUGGGACGGUACUGACACUGAGACGCGAAAGCGUGGGGAGCAAACAGG